GUUUGGUUUUAGUCAACUUGUAGAGAAAGGAAUGGUGAUUACAAUGGUCGAAAAACUACACGAAAUGGGAAUCAGGAAAGGCCUCAUCAGAGACGAUUUUUUAUUUUUUCUGUGGUGGCGUCGUUGAGGUUUUUCGACACUGCCAAAUUUUUAGCUCAUCCGCUGAUCCUUUUGCUUUGAUUUGGCCAUGGGGGUGUUCAAAAUUGAAUUUCAAGUGAAUAGGGAAAAUUUUACCUCUUUUGGCUAGCAGAAGUUGCUCCAGCGUGGUGGCAGGCGGCGGUCGGCUCCCUUAUCAGCGACUGGCUCUUCUUCUCCGGUGGGGGGUAUGGCAGCUAGGGUUAGGGUUUGGUGUGAAGAGAGUUAUUUAUAUCCG
RNAcentral lists this long non-coding RNA (373 nucleotides) under Carica papaya (papaya). RNAcentral describes it as "long non-coding RNA (CPAP_LNC004354)". The record is from RNAcentral. Lineage: Eukaryota; Viridiplantae; Streptophyta; Magnoliopsida; Brassicales; Caricaceae.